Molecule: ribosomal RNA, 497 nt
Filed under: uncultured bacterium
Lineage: Bacteria
Description: partial 16S ribosomal RNA
Rfam family: Bacterial small subunit ribosomal RNA
Source: RNAcentral
GAUGAACGCUGGCGGCGUGCCUAAUACAUGCAAGUCGAGCGAACAGACGAGGAGCUUGCUCCUCUGACGUUAGCGGCGGACGGGUGAGUAACACGUGGAUAACCUACCUAUAAGACUGGGAUAACUUCGGGAAACCGGAGCUAAUACCGGAUAAUAUAUUGAACCGCAUGGUUCAAUAGUGAAAGACGGUUUUGCUGUCACUUAUAGAUGGUUCCGCGCCGCAUUAGCUAGUUGGUAAGGUAACGGCUUACCAAGGCAACGAUGCGUAGCCGACCUGAGAGAGUGAUAGGCGACACGGGAACGGAGACGCGGUCCAGACGCCUAAGGGAGGCAGCAGUAGGGAAUCGUACGCAAUAGGCGAAAGCAUGACGGAGCAACGCCGCGUGAGUGAUGAAGGUCUUCGGAUCGUAAAACUCUGUUAUUAGGGAAGAACAGAUGUGUAAGUAACUAUGCACGUCUUGACGGUACCUAAUCAGAAAGCCACGGCUAACUACGUG